This 190-nucleotide small nuclear RNA is filed under the name Jaculus jaculus (lesser Egyptian jerboa). RNAcentral's name for it is "U2 spliceosomal RNA (ENSJJAG00000003758.1)". It matches the Rfam family "U2 spliceosomal RNA". Rfam says of the family: U2 is a small nuclear RNA (snRNA) component of the spliceosome (involved in pre-mRNA splicing). Complementary binding between U2 snRNA (in an area lying towards the 5' end but 3' to hairpin I) and the branchpoint sequence (BPS) of the intron results the bulging out of an unpaired adenosine, on the BPS, which initiates a nucleophilic attack at the intronic 5' splice site, thus starting the first of two transesterification reactions that mediate splicing. Lineage: Eukaryota; Metazoa; Chordata; Mammalia; Rodentia; Dipodidae. The record is from Rfam by way of RNAcentral.
AUUGCUUCUCAGCCUUUUGGCUAAGAUCAAGUUUAGUAUCUGUUCUUAUCAGCUUAAUAUCUGAUACGUCCUCUAUCUGAGGACAAUAUAUUAAAUGGAUUUUUGCAGUUGGAGUUGGAAUAGGCGCUUUCUCCAUCCACUCCAUGCACCAACCUGGUAUUGCAGUACCUCUAGGAACGGUGCACCCCCU